GGGGUUGUGGCUCAGUGGUAGAGCACUCAUCUAGCAUGUGCGAGGCCCUGGGUUCAAUCCUCAGCACCACA
This 71-nucleotide transfer RNA is filed under the name Marmota monax (woodchuck). RNAcentral's name for it is "tRNA.Ala". It matches the Rfam family "tRNA". From Rfam's summary of the family: Transfer RNA (tRNA) molecules are approximately 80 nucleotides in length. Lineage: Eukaryota; Metazoa; Chordata; Mammalia; Rodentia; Sciuridae. The record is from RNAcentral.